Molecule: long non-coding RNA, 296 nt
Filed under: Capsicum annuum
Lineage: Eukaryota; Viridiplantae; Streptophyta; Magnoliopsida; Solanales; Solanaceae
Description: long non-coding RNA (CANN_LNC010163)
Source: RNAcentral
UUGAUACGAAAUGUGAAAUCAAUACCAAAACCCAAGGUAAUAUUUCUAUAACGGAGUCAAACCACACAAAUAUUGUAAAACCUGAAAUACAUAGUCAAAGAUACCAUACAAUACCCCAAAACCUGGUGUCACAAUGUAAGAACUACUAUAUGCAACUCAAAUGUCAAAUACCAUAAUAGUCCAAAAGAUCAAAUAAGUCUUUAUCAAUAAGAUUUCACCUUACGCACAGACUAGGAAUCAGCUAAAACACAUAAAUAUAUAAUCUAUGCAUCAAAAGAAAGCCAACAAUACCCAUA